UGUGCAAAGUUUGACCUUCUGUGCUUAGCUUAUUUGACUUACAAUGACCUCCGGUUCUAUCCAUGUUGUUGUAAAUGAUAGGAUCUCAUUCUUUUGUAGCUGAAUAAUACUCCAUUCUGUAUAUAUACCACAAUUUUCUAAAUCCAUUCAUCUUUUGAUGGACACUUAGGUUGCUUCCAAGUCUUGGCUGUCGUGGAUACUGCUGCAGAAAUCAUGGGAGUGCAAAUAUCUCUGGCAUACUGAUUUCCAGUCUUUUGGGUGAAUACCAAGCAAGUGGAAUACUGGAUCAUAAGUUCACAGACUCUCCAGGCCAUGGGGCCAUUGCUGAGCAUGUGGGAUGAAUGGUACUGGCAAUUCAAGACUGCCCUUCCUGCCUCACCAGUGCUUCCUUCAGUGAUAUGAAGUGAAAACCAGACACUGGGGUCACUCACCUGAUAUUUGGCUCCGUGAAGUUGCUUUUUUGUGUAGAUAAUUGUUAAAUUGGGUGUUCCUGCAGGGAGGACCCUUGGAGGAGGCUUCUAAUCUUGCAUCACUUCCCUCUUCUGUUACUCUUUUAUGAAUCUAGUAUUCUGACCUGUAUUUAAUUUUACUAAUAAUUUUUCAGAUAUCUGUAAUGUAUUUUAAAACAUUCUUAAUUUUGAUUAUUGUUUCUUUUUUCGGUAUCUAGAGUUCUUCACUUUGAAAUAAUGUUUUUUUUCCGAAAGUGUUCCAUUUUAUAUAUUUCUUUGAAAAUAUUCAAGAUAAUUAUAUGAAAGUCAUUGUGUAACUCCAUUUUCUGAAAAACAGGAUAUUAUUUUAAAGGCAUUGUACAACUUAAUUAGCUAAAUGCUUUGUGUAUCUGAUUUUAGUAUUAAUAUUUAACUUAAUUAAAAAUGAUAAUUUGUUUUUUCCCAUGUGCUUAAUCAUUUUAGGCUUAGUAAUAUAAAUUCGAUACAAUUAAGCCUAGUAUUAUAUCUUCCUUCAAAGGCAAGCCUAUGUAUGGUAACUAAAAACCUUCCAUCAACAUAAUCUAAUUAUAGGAAGCAAGAUAACUUUAAGUUGGAGUUAAUUACGCGGUGAAAGCCAGACCAUUUUC
This 1075-nucleotide long non-coding RNA is filed under the name Callithrix jacchus (white-tufted-ear marmoset). RNAcentral describes it as "lncRNA (ENSCJAG00000076479.1)". Lineage: Eukaryota; Metazoa; Chordata; Mammalia; Primates; Cebidae. The record is from RNAcentral.